Molecule: ribosomal RNA, 287 nt
Filed under: uncultured Chloroflexota bacterium
Lineage: Bacteria; Bacillati; Chloroflexota
Description: uncultured Chloroflexi bacterium partial 16S ribosomal RNA
Rfam family: Bacterial small subunit ribosomal RNA
Source: RNAcentral
AGCCGCGAGGCGGAGCUAAUCGCAGCAAAACCGGCCUCAGUUCGGAUAGGAGGCUGCAACCCGCCUCCUUGAAGUCGGAGUUGCUAGUAAACGCCGGUCAGCCAUACGGCGUUGAAUACGUUCCCGGGCCUUGUACACACCGCCCGUCACGUCAUGGGAGCUGGUAACACCUGAAGUCGGUGUGCUAACCCCCCUUCGGGAGGGAGGCAGCUGCCGAGGGUGGGACCGGUGACUGGGACGAAGUCGUAACAAGGUAACUGUACCGGAAGGUGCGGCUGGAACACCUC